Molecule: unclassified non-coding RNA, 923 nt
Filed under: Hevea brasiliensis (rubber tree)
Lineage: Eukaryota; Viridiplantae; Streptophyta; Magnoliopsida; Malpighiales; Euphorbiaceae
Source: RNAcentral
AAAAGCUUUUGAGAAUGCCAUUGCACAGCACUGGGUUGAAGAUUCUGAACAGCAAUGGGAGCAGUUUGCUUCUAUGGUCCCCACAAAGACCAUUGAUGAGCUUAAGGAACAUUACCAGCUACUUUUGGAAGAUGUUGCAGCCAUUGAAGCAGGACAAGUUCCAAUACCCAAUUACAAAGGAGAAGAAGCUUCGUCCUCUUCAACGAAAGAAGUAAAUCUAGGAUAUCCUGGGUCAGUGGAUGGGCGGCGGUCCAAUUGUGGUUAUGCAAAUGGAUUUUCAGGUACGAACCAUGACCCGAUUGGGCAUGGUGGAAAAGGAAAUUCUAGGUCUGAACAAGAGAGACGAAAAGGAAUACCGUGGACUGAAGAAGAACAUAGGUUGUUUUUGCUAGGUUUAGACAAAUUUGGGAAAGGAGAUUGGAGAAGUAUUUCAAGGAAUUUUGUGAUAUCUCGAACACCAACACAAGUAGCUAGUCAUGCCCAGAAAUACUUUAUUCGUUUGAAUUCCAUGAAUAGAGAUAGAAGAAGGUCAAGUAUUCACGACAUUACAAGUAUCAAUAAUGGAGGAGACGUUUCAACUCAUCAAGCUCCAAUUACAGGCCAACAGGUGAAUCCUAAUCCAUCGAAUCCAGCUGCACUUGGACCCUCAGUCAAGCACAGAACCCAACCCAAUAUGCAUAGUAUGGGCAUGUACGGUGCUCCGAUGGGUCACCCCGUCGCUGCACCGCCAAGCCACCUCGCCUCAGCCGUCGGAACACCGGUUAUGCUUCCUCAUGGACACCAUCCUCCUUAUGUACUUCCACUUGCAUAUCCUAUACCACCGCCGCCACCCCCCAUGCACCAGUAAAUGAAUGGUGCACAUAUAACUGCAUUUUCUUCUUUCUAAAUUUCAAUAGAGUUAGUAUAUCAUAAAUGCUUUUGAG